This 491-nucleotide ribosomal RNA is filed under the name uncultured bacterium. Its description in RNAcentral is "partial 16S ribosomal RNA". It matches the Rfam family "Bacterial small subunit ribosomal RNA", at positions 29 to 507 of the family's 1533-position model. The record is from RNAcentral.
GUGAACGCUGGCGGUAGGCCUAACACAUGCAAGUCGAACGGCAGCACAGUAAGAGCUUGCUCUUACGGGUGGCGAGUGGCGGACGGGUGAGGAAUACAUCGGAAUCUACUUUUUCGUGGGGGAUAACGUAGGGAAACUUACGCUAAUACCGCAUACGACCUACGGGUGAAAGCAGGGGAUCUUCGGACCUUUCGCGAUUGAAUGAGCCGAUGUCGGAUUAGCUAGUUGGCGGGGUAAAGGCCCACCAAGGCGACGAUCCGUAGCUGGUCUGAGAGGAUGAUCAGCCACACUGGAACUGAGACACGGUCCAGACUCCUACGGGAGGCAGCAGUGGGGAAUAUUGGACAAUGGGCGCAAGCCUGAUCCAGCCAUACCGCGUGGGUGAAGAAGGCCUUCGGGUUGUAAAGCCCUUUUGUUGGGAAAGAAAAGCAGCAGGUUAAUACCCCGCUGUUCUGACGGUACCCAAAGAAUAAGCACCGGCUAACUUCGUG